AAUUUAUUGCAUUUACUCUUAUGAAUUUAUAAAAAUAAAUGGAAAACAGAAAGAUGAAGGUGUUAACAUUUGGGAGAAUAAGACCAUGUUUCAUACACGUAAUAAAAUCAAGACAAGGAGUAAAUUGCUUCUUGGGUAUUUGGACUUGCCAAAUUAGGGCAUUAUUUGCCAUAUUCAUGCUGGAUCUUACCAAGAUUCUUCUAAUACAAAUGAGACAACAAUUUCAGAAUACCACCCUAAUAAAACCAGUUGAAAAUCUUAUCAGCCAAGUCUAUCAGUGUAAUUCUGUUAAAUGGUACCAUCCCAAAGACCAAGAAUAUGGAUGAGUCAUUUUCCGAAGUUGGUCAACUGGAACAGGAAAUUAAGCUCUACAAAGAUAUGCUGACUCCUUUCCACACUCUGGCCUUCAACUCUGGUAGUGAAAAUUAAAUUAAAAGGACCUCUUUGAAGUUGAACCCAUAUCCUUGGGAGUUGGCCUCACUCUCCAUUAUCACUCUCCAUUUCCCACUGACCACCAUCACCAUUUACCCGUUCAUUUUCUGAGGCACUUUGAUAUGGUCCACCAUGAUAAUGUACCACUUAAAUUACAGCAAUGGAAGGAGAACUAAUAGACCCUGCAUUAUGCAAACUCCCCAAACAACAACGCAGCCUCCCUUGUCCACCCACAAGACUCCUUGAGAAACCGGAGCUCAAGAUAAAAACCAACAUACUUCCUCUUCUGUCAGUUCUGAGAAGCUACCAGGCUCAGUGAGAGGCAAGGACUUUUCAUCUUUAGGGCACUCUGACCGCGUCCUGCUUGAGAGAGAUUGUUCCCGGCAUCUCAGCGCUAUGGGGAGCAGGUGCUUCCUGGUCCUGCUCUUGGGUCUCACUAUCUUAGUGGUUCUGCCAGGAUCAGAAGCCGAGAAUUCUGGAGCUUUCUGUCCUCAAUGCCCUAAAUAUGCCAAGUGCCACAACAGCACCCACUGCACCUGUGAACACGGCUUUUCGGCCAGGUCUGGCAGGACAUACUUUCAUGAGUUCUCUGAGAAGUGUGAAGAUAUUAAUGAAUGUGAGACCGGGCUGGCAAAGUGCAAGUAUGAAGCUCAUUGUAAAAAUAAAAUUGGAACUUACAUCUGUAGCUGUUGGGUAAAACAUCCUAUCCUCAACUGGCUGGCUGGUUUUAUAGAUUAUAAUUUUCCAGAUUGUUAUGAGGACGAUAGUCAAGGGACACAGGCAAAAGUGGAUAUUUGGGAAAAUCUGAGAAGAAAUGGAAGCAGAGAGGACAUUGCAAGACAGGCUACUCAACUAAUUCAGAGCGUGGAGUUGAAGAUCUGGAAUGACAGUUUUGCUUCUCCAGGAAAGGGUCGAAUUUCUGACUUAGAUGUAGUUUAUGAAACCAAGAGGUGCAAUGAAACAAGGGAGAACGCUUUUCUGGAAGCUGGAAAUAACACCAUGGAUAUCAACUGUGCCGAUGCUUUUAAAAGAACCCCAAGAGAGAGCACUGCAGUUGCCCUCAUCACGUUUGAAUCUCUUGGGGAUAUUCUGAAUGCAUCCUUUUUUAGUAAAAGAAAAGGGAUGCAGGAAGUAAAACUGAACUCUCAUGUUGUGAGUGGCAGCAUCGGUUUGAAGGAAAAAGUGUCCCUGUCUGAACCUGUGUUCCUGACUUUUCACCAUAAUCAGCCUGGUGACGAGAGAACAAAACAUAUCUGUGUCUACUGGGAGGGACUGGAGGGAGGCAGCUGGUCCACUGAGGGCUGCUCUCGUGUGUGCAGCAACGGCUCUUACACCAAAUGCAAGUGCUUCCAUCUGUCCAGCUUUGCCGUCCUCGUGGCUCUUGCCCCCAAGGAGGACCCUGUGCUGACUGUAAUCACCCAGGUGGGACUGGCCAUCUCUCUGCUGUGCCUCUUCCUGGCCAUCCUCACCUUCCUCCUGUGCCGGCCCAUCCAGAACACCAGCACCUCCCUCCACCUACAGUUCUCCCUCUGCCUCUUCCUGGCCCACCUCCUAUUCCUGACGGGCAUCAAUAGAACUGAGCCUGAGGUGCUGUGCUCCCUCAUCGCAGGGCUGCUGCACUUCCUCUACCUGGCUUGCUUCACCUGGAUGCUCCUGGAAGGGCUGCACCUCUUCCUCACCGUCAGGAACCUCAGGGUGGCCAACUACACCAGCAUGGGCAGAUUCAAGAAGAGGUUCAUGUACCCUGUAGGCUACGGGAUCCCAGCUGUGAUUAUUGCUGUGUCUGCAAUAGUUGGACCCCAGAAUUAUGGAACAUUUACUCACUGUUGGCUCAAGCCUGAUAAAGGAUUCAUCUGGAGCUUCACGGGGCCAGUGGCAGUCAUUAUCUUGAUCAACCUGGUGUUCUACUUCCAAAUUCUGUGGAUUUUGAGAAGCAAACUUUCCUCCCUCAAUAAAGAAGUUUCCACCAUUCAGGAUACCAGAGUCAUGACAUUUAAAGCCAUUGCUCAGCUAUUUAUCCUGGGCUGUUCUUGGGGCCUUGGUCUUUUUAUGGUUGAAGAAGUAGGGAAGACGAUUGGAUCAAUCUUUGCAUACUCAUUCACCAUCAUCAACACUCUUCAGGGAGCAUUGCUGUUUGUGGUACACUGUCUCCUUAAUCGCCAGGUAAGGCAACUUAUUUUGUCUGUCAUCAGCCUAGUCCCAAAGUCUAAUUGAAUGGUUGUUCACAUUCUCACUCUUCUCUGACCUUUUAUAAUUGUAUUUUGGGGUCUUCUUGGUUUGAAGAUGAGGGUUUAGGUGUUGCUGGGGUAUGCUAUAUCCUGUGGGUUUCAUCUGUUUGGCAUCAUAUCUCUGAAGAGCAUGGAUCAGUCAGGAUAAGAUGGACUAUGCUGCAAUAACAAAUAGCCCCUUGCCUCCCACACUCAGUCUUAGCAACUUACAACAAUAAAUGUUUAUUUCUUGCUUGUGCUACAUAAGUACAUCAUCUUUCCUCUGGGGUGCAGGCUGAAGGUGUGACCUCUUUAGAACAUUGAUGGUUUCAUGGCACAGGAAAAGGAGAUUGUGGGAAAGCACAGCUUAGCUCUCUUAAAGCUUCUACCUAGUAGUGAUGCACCUCUGUUCUGCUCUCGUUUAAUUGGCCAAAGCGAGUCACAUGGCCAUACCUCAGUUCACCAAGAAGGGGAUGAAUAAUCCUCCUGUAGUGAGGAGCACUACAGGAAGUGAUGCUGAAAUAUGUGGUAUAAUCUACCAUAAACUCAAAGAGACUUCAAGUCUAAUCCCAGUUCCUCCACUGAGUAUGUGGCUGUGUGACUCUGGGUAAACUUCCUAUCCUUUCUGAGCAUCAUCUGUAGUUUUCUCAUCUGCAAAUGUGGUGAUGCCUUCAUUACAGGGUUGAAUAUUUAAAUGAAUCAGUGCAAUCUCCUAGCAUAGUCCUUAGUACACAUUAAGAUCUCAGUGAGUGUCGUUAUUUCAAUUUUACUCUCCAUAGAAAAUUAGGACCAGUUCUCCUGUCAUUUUCCCUUUGCUGUUGAAUAAAACUACAAGCAGUUAAAACGCUAGUGGCAAAAUGCUAUCUUAACAUGUCAUUAAUUUCUCUUCAAUCUUUUAGUGCCUUAAUGCUUGAUACUUCUCACUCACAGAAGAAGUAAAAUCAGUUUUAGCAUGUCAAGGAGGUUAGAGGAAGGCAAUUCUUGGAAUCAUGGAGGAUGGGUGCGAAUGGAAUACAAAAAAUGGUUUAGUGGGAUGCGGAAAGGAGUAGAAACUGAAAGCACUGAGAUGUCUCGCUCUACUAC
Macaca mulatta (Rhesus monkey) is the source of this 3722-nucleotide non-coding RNA. The record is from RefSeq and is a predicted model, not a curated record. NCBI's taxonomy places the organism in Eukaryota, Metazoa, Chordata, Mammalia, Primates, Cercopithecidae.